CCAGAGCUGGGGGCUGGAGGUACUUCUUCCUCCUCAGCCUGUCUGGGCAUGGAGCCAGGGCUGGGGCCGGGAGGCAUACUAGGACAUUCCUCAGCGUUCGGAAGCAGAUAAGAAGGCCCCGGCUGCGGUGAAAGCGGGCGAGACACAACAGGAAAUGUCUUCAGAGGAAAACCAAGAAAGGCCAGUUGCCUCUUGGAAAAAGCGACUUUGGGAUCCCUAUUUAAGCCUUCCGUCGGGUUUUAAGGCUAUUGGUGAGACAACCUGCGGCUGCUUUUCCAAAAAAAAUCAUUUAGAGCUUCGUCAAGAUCCUGGCCUCCCUUGCGAACUUCAGCCUUACCCUUUGGAGUCAAGACUAUGAAUGGAACAGCUCCUGCCGUGGACGGUGAGAUGGGGCCGCUGGGAUUUAGUCCUCUUUUUCUUGCUACGCUUCUUCUUCUUCUGUCGAGGCUGCUUAAUGAUCUGGGCUGAGUUGGGCUCCACGGUGGUAGGUUUCUUGUCCUUCAUCAGGGCAAUCCUGGAUGGACUUCUCUGCCGUGUCUUGGUUCCCAUGGGCCUGUUGACACAAGGGGAGGAAGGAACGAACCGAGUUUAAGGUUUUCGAUGGCCCUUCUGAUUCCAAUGUACUUCAUCUGAAGUUCCUAAGGCUCCAGCCUCUGGUGUCUCAACAGGCUAAUGCAGUCUGUUAUUAACGGCAGCAGCCUGCAAUUACUGCAGGUUCAAGCCCCACCAGGCCCAAGGUUGACUCAGCCUUCCAUCCUUUAUAAGGUAGGUAAAAUGAGGACCCAGAUUGUUGGGGGCAAUAAAAGUUGACUUAGUAUAUAAUAUACAAAUGGAUGAAGACUAUUGCUUGACAUAGUGUCAGCCGCCCUGAGUCUUCGGAGAAGGGCAGGAUAUAAAUGCAAAUAAAAAAAAAACUGCUGAUGAAGGUUAGUGGGAGUCACUGUGUAGGGGAACAAUUCCUGCUCCUACCACCAGAUUACCCGGAUGCAUCGUUUCUGCAAUAGCGAUAGCCCAUAGACUUAUAUACUGCUUCGCAGUGCUAUGCAGCCCUCUCUAAGCAGUUUACGGAGUCAGCCUCUUGUUCCCAACUAUCUGGGUCCUCGUUUCACCGACCUCGGAAGGACGGAAGGCUGAGUCAACCUUGAACUGGUUCAGGAUCGAACUGGCAGUGAGCAGAGUUAGCCUGCAAUAUUACAUUCUAACCACUGCGCACCAUGAAAGGAAGGAAAGAAAGGAAGGAAGGUGGAGAGGAAGGAAGGAGUAAGAAAGUAAGUGAAGGAAGGAAGGAAAGAAGGAAGAGAAGGAGAAAAGCAAUAGCAAUAGCAUUUAGACAUAUAUACCACUUCACAGUGCUUAUCCUGCCCUCUCUAAGCGGUUUACAGAGCCAGCCUAGUGCCCACAACAAUCUGGGUCCUCAUUUUACCCACCUUGGAAGGACGGAAGGCUGAGUCAACCUUGAACUGGUCAGGAUCGAACUCCUGGCAGUGAGCAGAGUUAACCUGCAAUAUUACAUUCUAACCACUGUGCACCAUGGAAGGAAGGACAGGAAGGAAGGAAGGAAGGAAGGAAGGAAGGAAGGAAGGGAAGGAGAAAAGGAAGAGCAAUAGCAAUAGCAUUUAGACAUAUAUACCAUAUAUACCACUUCACAGUGUUUUUCCUCUCCUCUCUAAGCAGUUUACAGAGUCAGCCUCUUGCCCCCAACAAUCUGGGUCCACAUUUUACCCACCUCAGAAGGAUGGAAGGCUGAGUCAACCUUGCACCUGGUGAGAUUCGAUCUGCCAAAUUGCAGGCAGCCGGCAGUCAGCAGAAGUAGCCUGCAGUACUGCACUCUAACCACUGUGCCACCGUGGCUCACAAACCUUUGCAGGUUUGGAGAACACCAAGCCAGGGUGGGCCGAAUGAACAUUUCUUCCACCAUUCCCCCUUCACCUCACUCUAAUAAAAUCUCGGUUGUAGCUGAAUAUGCCACUCUAUCCCCAACAGGGAAGCCAAACCCAAUUUUUGCUAAUCUAGCUCGGUUCUGAUUGUGGAAAUUCUAGGUGGACUAAAUUGCAUGGUUCAUCUGAAUUGGGCAAAACACUCUGGCUUGCUCUUAACCUUUGCAUGUCCUUUAAAACUUGAUUAGGACAAAGAGAAAGAAUUGAUUUUCAUCCUCCGUGCACUUACCAUCUUGAUCUAAAGCUGAGUAAGACAGGAAUCGCCCACCUUUUAGCGUUUCUCCUAGCCUUCCUCAAUGCUGUUGCGGCGGCUUUUCUAGAGUUAAACCUUACGUAUAUUGGGUGAAACGGCUUUGUGAAAUUGUGUGUAGGCUCCUGAGUUCGUUAGAUAAUACCCAGCGGUGGGAUUCAAGUAAUUUAACAACCGGUUCUCUGCCCUAAUGAUUUCUUCCAACAACCAGUUCACCAAACUGCUCAGAAAGUUAACAACCGGUUCUCCCGAAGUGGUGCGAACUGGCUGAAUCCCACCACUGAUAAUACCCCUUCGAUCGGCGUUAUCUAAAAUUGAAUUAUUCUGCUUUCCUGCUCCCCAACAUAAAAAUUCUGUAUAAAUUGGAUUUUUUAAAAAAAAUUAGUUUCCCACUUUUUGGUAAAACCAGGAAUUUUCAAACUGAGGUUGACUAAACCUCAGUGGCCGGAUUGACAGUACUUUAACCCCCAGCCAAUCAACUCGUUUAAAAGAGAGGUGAAAUGACCAUUCCUGAUCUAAAUCUUUUUAAGAUCCCAUAAUCGAAUCCUUUCAAGUCGAAUCUUGAAAAGACUACCCAGCGCAAAAAUGAACAGAUGGGACGCCUAAGAUGAAUCUCCGUAAACAAGAGGAAACAAGAGUUUUGACUGUCGCCGGAACAGAACAGAAUAACAGAGUUGGAAGGGACCUUGGAGGUCUUCUAGUCCAACCCCCUGCUCAGACCGAAAACCCUAUAGCAUUUCAGACAAACGGCUGUCCAAUCUCUUCUUAAAAAAAACUCCAGUGAGGAGCAUCCAUGACUGCUGAAGUUCUUCCUUCAUCCAGAGGGAAUCUCGACGGAAGAGCAGAGCAAGAAAAAUGCUUUUGUCUCGUGGGCGUGCAUCUCCUGCGAAGAAGCAUCAAUGCAUAAAACAUCACCGGUGAAGGAUGGAGACCGCGAGGAGCUUGCGGCAGCUUGGAGGCUGAGGAGAAACCGGAGGUGAGCCGAGCAAGCCAUGGUCUCCCGUCGCACGAUUUUGCUCACUGGCUUCACAACUGGCCGGCAUCAUCGCCCCCGUGGAGUGGCUGCUCGCCAGGGGCUGAAUUUGGGGACGGAAAGGAGAAAUUGCUAGCCAAGAUCGUCCUUCUCUGGACCGCCAGCAUCCAUGACCCCCAGGCCCAAUGAAGCGGGCUCUGAGGAGCCACAGAUGGACCCAGCUGUCCUCAUCUUUCUCCUGUAUCUGAUGAUCAUCCAUGAGCUGGUGAGUGGCUGGAUGGAAUACCAGAAGCAGGCCACCAAGCCGAAGAAGCAGGCUGGUCCUCCAUGGUCAGGCAGCAUCUCUUCCCAAGGAAACCGUUCAAGCGUGUCUCACUCAUUGGCUUAUCCAGUGCCACGAGAGCGAUCCAAGGACUGGAGGAAGCCAGGCAGAAUCAUCCGGAAAGCGUAAAACCGACUUCACGAUCUCAAUCCACCAGGUCUCGGCUAAGGAAGCUGUCAAGAACGGCCAACUGGAGAUCUCCACACUGAUCCUGGCUGUGCGGCUGUUCUGUCUAACUGCGAUUGAAUUCGGAGCGUCUUCCAAACAGCUUCGCAUUGUAGAUCCAAGAUCAGACAGCGCACCUGAGCUCACCGAAUGAAACAGGUAUCGGUAAAUAGCGGAGUACAGUUGACAUGGCGCUUUUAGCCUCAUCCAGAGGAACCAAUGAACCAAUCCUCACAGUGGAUAAGCAUUGUAUCUUCUCAAGCAUGUGGCAGAACGAAGAAGACUGCUUGAAUGGAUGACCGUGGAACAGACCAAGUGUUGUGGCCCGCCGGCGGCCAGCGGAGCUGGCAGCAGAGUCGGACAAUGAGGAGGUUGGAAAGGAACUUGGGCCCAUUCUGGGGGCUGGGGAAAGCUCAGACAAGGGCUCUGCGUCUGAGGCAGAGAGGGAGUUAGACAGCAGGAAGGCAGAGGAACAGCUGGAGCUUGUUCCCAGUGUGUGCAUGCACAGAAGACAAGAACAACUCAGAAAGCAGGGUCGACUCAGGAGUAAAGCCACACCUUGGAGGUGAUUGGCCCCUGCCAUAGGAAACAAAAGAGGAGCGAACAGGGAUGGGACUUUUGCAAGAAACAAUUCGUUCAUUCCGUGACUCUGAGAGACUCUGUACCAAGUUUUGCCUUGUACUGCGGUUGGAAACAAGUUAUGUGGCAGCUUGCCACAAGAGAUAAGGUCUGUGUUGAUAGAUAUUCCUUUGAAAAACUGUUUGGACAAGACUUGCUGACUGUGACUGAACGUAAUUCACAGUCGUGUAAAAUAAAAAAGGUUUUGCCGGGACCAAUUCCUGCCUCCUGCUUGUUAAGGGAGCCUAGGUCAGAAUACCAAGAUGGACAAAGAAAGGGAUGCAAGAAAGCACUAAGUCCCUGAAGAAAUUAGAGUAUUAAAACAUUGGGAGGUGGCAGUGGAAGUUGAGGUACAGGGGGGGUGACCUCAAGAUGUAGGUGACACAGGGAUUGACUAGUGGAAGGAGAAGAUGAAGAGCACGGGAAUUAACAUAGUGCCAAGGAAGAAGUUAUGAAGAAGUCUGCCAGGACAGAAACAUCUCCGUUCUCCUCUGUUAACCCUAGUAAUUGUAAUCAUCCUUGGUUUGGGCAACCAUCAACCACUGGAGCAAUUCCUAUCCAAACUUCUCUUCUCAGCACUCUUCUACCUGGUAGCAACUUCUGAUCCUCCUCAGCUUCCCUUCUUCUUGUCCUCUUUGAAGAAACUCCUAUUGAGUGUUCAAACUUUCUACAAGACCUGCUAUUCUUCUCCACCCUCAAGACCUCGACCAUCAAUGACUUGCCGAUGUGUUUUUGAGGACUCACCCAUCCAUCAGAGCUGUCUGUCCAUCAUGUCCUUGAUCUUAUAGACUCGUCCCUGAGAUCUCUUCCUUCUUUUGUUUAGCAUCUCCUUGACUUCCUGUCAAGAGAUUUAUGUUGCCGAAUGUCAGUUUUGAAUACCAACCCGAUGCAGACGAUUGCUGUCAUCGUUGUCAUCUUUGCCGUGUGCUUUCAUUCUGCUUUGUCAGAGCCAUGGUUGCAAAUGGGCCGUAAUAGCUCAGGCUGUUAGAAGCCUGUUAUUAGAACACAGCAGCCUGCAAUUACUGCAGGUUCAAGCCCGGCCCGAGGUUGACUCAGCCUUCCAUCCUUUAUAAGGUAGGUAAAAUGAGGACCCAGAUUGUUGGGGGGGCAAUAAGUUGACUUUGUAAAUACACAAAUAGAAUGAGACUAUUGCCUUAUACACUGUAAGCCGCCCUGAGUCUUCGGAGAAGGGCGGGAUAUAAAUGUAAAUAAAUA
Ahaetulla prasina is the source of this 5480-nucleotide long non-coding RNA. RefSeq lists it as uncharacterized. NCBI's taxonomy places the organism in Eukaryota, Metazoa, Chordata, Lepidosauria, Squamata, Colubridae. The record is from RefSeq and is a predicted model, not a curated record. The transcript has 4 exons.